GACAAACGCUGGCGGCAUGCCUAACACAUGCAAGUCGAACGGACAGAACAGGGAAGCUUUUCGGAGUGGAACUGGAAAGUUAGUGGCGGAUGGGUGAGUAACGCGUGGACAACCUACCUUGUAAAGGGGAAUAACCUCGAGAAAUCGAAGCUAAUACCCCAUAAUAACCUUGCUUCGCAUGAAGUAAGGAGGAAAGGCGGCCUUAGCGCUGUCGAUACAAGAUGGGUCCGCGUCUGAUUAGCUAGUUGGCGAGGUAAAGGCUCACCAAGGCGACGAUCAGUAGCCGGCCUGAGAGGGUGAAUGGCCACAUUGGGACUGAGACACGGCCCAAACUCCUACGGGAGGCAGCAGUGGGGAAUCUUCCGCAAUGGGCGAAAGCCUGACGGAGCAAUGCCGCGUGAGUGAAGAAGGCCUUCGGGUUGUAAAACUCUGUCCUUAUCGAAGAGAGAGUGUUGUAGUAACUGACAAUACUAGGACGGUAGAUGAGGAGGAAGCCCCGGCUAACUAUGU
This 510-nucleotide ribosomal RNA is filed under the name uncultured bacterium. Its description in RNAcentral is "partial 16S ribosomal RNA". It matches the Rfam family "Bacterial small subunit ribosomal RNA", at positions 28 to 506 of the family's 1533-position model. The record is from RNAcentral.